UUGAUUUGGCACCAAGAAUAUUAAAAUUAGAAUGACACAGAGAAGGGUGGUAUGGCCCCUGUGCAAAGAUGACAUGCAAAAUUAUAAAAUGUUCUGUAUGUUU
Dromiciops gliroides (monito del monte) is the source of this 103-nucleotide small nuclear RNA. NCBI's taxonomy places the organism in Eukaryota, Metazoa, Chordata, Mammalia, Microbiotheria, Microbiotheriidae. The record is from RefSeq and is a predicted model, not a curated record.